RNAcentral lists this ribosomal RNA (777 nucleotides) under uncultured Neocallimastigales. Its description in RNAcentral is "partial large subunit ribosomal RNA". It matches the Rfam family "Eukaryotic large subunit ribosomal RNA", at positions 19 to 645 of the family's 3401-position model. Lineage: Eukaryota; Fungi; Neocallimastigomycota; Neocallimastigomycetes; Neocallimastigales. The record is from RNAcentral.
CGAGCACGCGCGUGUGGCAUAUCAAUAAGCGGAGGAAAAGAAACUAACAAGGAUUCCCUUAGUAACGGCGAGUGAAGCGGGAAGAGCUCAAAUUUGAAAUCUUCAAGGGUUCUACCUUUACGAAUUGUAGUUUAAAGAAGUGUUUUCUGUUGGAGUUUCGGUAAAAGUUCUUUGGAAUAGGACAUCAUAGAGGGUGAGAAUCCCGUAUUUGACCAUUACUUUCCAGCUGUGUGAUACACUUUCAAAGAGUCGGAUUGUUUGGGAAUGCAGUCCAAAAUGGGUGGUAAAUUUCAUCUUAAAGCUAAAUAUUGGCGAGAGACCGAUAGCGAACAAGUACCGUGAGGGAAAGAUGAAAAGAACUUUGAAAAGAGAGUUAAACAGUACGUGAAAUUGUCAAAAGGGAAGCGUUUGACACCAGUGUUGUUUUUCCGAAAAUCAAUUACGAAUGUUUUGUUUUUGAGGAGUUAUGACUUCAUCGGCUCGCUCCUUUCUUUAUGAAACUUUCUUAAUGCACUUUUCGGUUAACAAGUCAACAUCAAUUUCUUUUGUUGUAAAAGGGUAUGAGGAAGGUGGCUUUCUUUUCGGAGAAAGUGUUUAUAGCCUUGUAGCCUCUACAAUCGGAGAGAUUGAGGUCUGCAGCGUAGAUCCUUCGGGGUUAGAUACAUUUGUGCUAAGUUAUAGCUUUUCAUAGACAACUUGUUGACUAUGUUUAGUCUUGUAGCUUACUCGCUUAUGCUAUUUUACCUACGCUUAGGAUGUUGAUGUGAUACUGCGAGC